UGAUUUCUCUCCAAUCUUUGAAUCCCCUCAGUUUGAACUAAUGCCAUGUAUUUUCAGAACAAUUAGUGAAACAAUUGUCAAUUGAAAGAUGGUUGAUGCACCGAAAAAGAUUGUAUUGAUUCAAUCUGGAAAAGUCAAGAUCACAGUAGCAAUUAAAUAUACAUUUGUUGGGCCAAAAGUAGCAGUUACAUAUGCAUUUGGUCAAUCUUUUGGCCUCUCUCUUUAUGCAUUAUGAUUGCCAUCUUGAGAAAAAAAUGGAAAAACAUGUAAAGCUGUAUGAGUUUUUUAUGUUUGCAAUUUUUAGUUUUGCGGGGACUUAAUGGAUCCACUCGGCUUGCCCUUGAAUCCAACUGUUUUUAGUUUUCAGUGUCCAGGAAAAAUUCUUGAGAUGACGGAAACGAAUUUCCCUCUCAAGAAAAGGUGGAAUACGAAUUGGAUGGAAAGCUAGAGCUGGAGCAGGUAGAGCAUGGUGGAGGGUCUGCUUCUACCUCUCUGGCCUCUCGACCGGAUCAUAUAUGUUUUGCGGCUCCGCGGCUCCAUUAAUGGCAGUAGUGCGCUUGUGCCAUCCAUGUCUGAUUCGUGCAGCCAUCAUCUGUAGCAUUUGUUGGAGCCAUCAUCCAAAACAGUUUCACUAAUUCUCAGUCCAUCAGGGCUCACAUCGUCGCCAACCCCAAUUGCGCGUGUGGGGCGAAGGCAAGCGCGGACGGACUGAUCGCAACCCGACGCUGCGCACCACCAUCUCCAACAUCCUCGCCGUCAGGGCCAGCGGCGCUCCGAGCAGAACAGA
Molecule: long non-coding RNA, 787 nt
Organism: Triticum aestivum (bread wheat)
Lineage: Eukaryota; Viridiplantae; Streptophyta; Magnoliopsida; Poales; Poaceae
Exons: 3
Source: RefSeq, a predicted model, not a curated record